GUAAGAAUCGAAGAGCAUUAAAAAAAAGUAGAUGCUGUGAAUGCAUUAAAAAUUUAUUUUACAUAAGAUAGUGGGAUGGAAGCAUUUAAUACUUACAAUACCAAAAGGCUGAAGACGACAAAGUGAUUCCCUGAUUGAGAAAUAAAGCUGAGCAUACGAUUUACCUAGCGACGUCUUGCAUGACUUUUUGAAAGGUUGAGCAAUCAGACUUUG
Schizosaccharomyces pombe (fission yeast) is the source of this 213-nucleotide non-coding RNA. The record is from the annotation of a GenBank genome assembly. NCBI's taxonomy places the organism in Eukaryota, Fungi, Ascomycota, Schizosaccharomycetes, Schizosaccharomycetales, Schizosaccharomycetaceae.